GUUGUAACUCAGUGGUAGAGCGCUUGUCUCCUAUGUGUGAGGCACUGGGUUCGAUUCCCAGCACCACA
This 68-nucleotide transfer RNA is filed under the name Marmota monax (woodchuck). RNAcentral's name for it is "tRNA.Arg". The stretch from base 3 to 63 matches the Rfam family "tRNA", at positions 6 to 65 of the family's 71-position model. From Rfam's summary of the family: Transfer RNA (tRNA) molecules are approximately 80 nucleotides in length. Their secondary structure includes four short double-helical elements and three loops (D, anti-codon, and T loops). Further hydrogen bonds mediate the characteristic L-shaped molecular structure. tRNAs have two regions of fundamental functional importance: the anti-codon, which is responsible for specific mRNA codon recognition, and the 3' end, to which the tRNAs corresponding amino acid is attached (by aminoacyl-tRNA synthetases). tRNAs cope with the degeneracy of the genetic code in two manners: having more than one tRNA (with a specific anti-codon) for a particular amino acid; and 'wobble' base-pairing, i.e. permitting non-standard base-pairing at the 3rd anti-codon position. The record is from RNAcentral. Lineage: Eukaryota; Metazoa; Chordata; Mammalia; Rodentia; Sciuridae.